AGAGUUUGAUCAUGGCUCAGAGCGAACGCUGGCGGCAGGCCUAACACAUGCAAGUCGAGCGCCCCGCAAGGGGAGCGGCAGACGGGAGAGUAACACGUGGGAACGUACCCUUCAGUUCGGAACAACCCAGGGAAACUUGGGCUAAUACCGAAUACGUCCGUAAGGAGAAAGAUUUAUCGCUGAAGGAUCGGCCCGCGUCUGAUUAGCUAGUUGGUGAGGUAACGGCUCACCAAGGCGACGAUCAGUAGCUGGUCUGAGAGGAUGAUCAGCCUCAUUGGGACUGAGACACGGCCCAAACUCCUACGGGAGGCAGCAGUGGGGAAUAUUGGACAAUGGGCGCAAGCCUGAUCCAGCCAUGCCGCGUGGAUGAUGAAGGCCCUAGGGUUGUAAAGUCCUUUCGGCGGGGAAGAUAAUGACGGUACCCGCAGAAGAAGCCCCGGCUAACUUCGUGCCAGCAGCCGCGGUAAUACGAAGGGGGCUAGCGUUGCUCGGAAUCACUGGGCGUAAAGCGCACGUAGGCGGACUCUUAAGUCGGUGGUGAAAUCCUGGAGCUCAACUCCAGAACUGCCUUCGAUACUGAGAGUCUCGAGUCCGGGAGAGGUGAGUGGAACUGCGAGUGUAGAGGUGAAAUUCGUAGAUAUUCGCAAGAACACCAGUGGCGAAGGCGGCUCACUGGCCCGGUACUGACGCUGAGGUGCGAAAGCGUGGGGAGCAAACAGGAUUAGAUACCCUGGUAGUCCACGCCGUAAACGAUGGAUGCUAGCCGUUGGCAGGCUUGCCUGUCAGUGGCGCAGCUAACGCAUUAAGCAUCCCGCCUGGGGAGUACGGUCGCAAGAUUAAAACUCAAAGGAAUUGACGG
Molecule: ribosomal RNA, 859 nt
Filed under: uncultured bacterium
Lineage: Bacteria
Description: bacterial SSU rRNA
Rfam family: Bacterial small subunit ribosomal RNA
Source: RNAcentral